This 465-nucleotide ribosomal RNA is filed under the name uncultured bacterium. Its description in RNAcentral is "partial 16S ribosomal RNA". It matches the Rfam family "Bacterial small subunit ribosomal RNA", at positions 339 to 795 of the family's 1533-position model. The record is from RNAcentral.
CUACGGGUCGCAGCAGUGAGGAAUUUUGCGCAAUGGGCGAAAGCCUGACGCAGCAACGCCGCGUGAGUGAUGAAGGCCUUCGGGUCGUAAAGCUCUGUCAAGUGGGAAGAACCUAUGUAAUGUUAAUAUCAUUAUAUACUGACGGUACCACUGAAGGAAGCACCGGCUAACUCCGUGCCAGCAGCCGCGGUAAUACGGGGGGUGCAAGCGUUAUUCGGAAUCAUUGGGCGUAAAGGGCACGUAGGCGGCCUGGUAAGUCAGAUGUGAAAGCGCGGGGCUUAACCCCGGAAGUGCAUUUGAUACUGUGAGGCUUGAGUAUGGGAGAGGGAAGUGGAAUUCCUGGUGUAGAGGUGAAAUUCGUAGAUAUCAGGAGGAACACCGGUGGCGAAGGCGACUUCCUGGACCAAUACUGACGCUGAGGUGCGAAGGCGUGGGUAGCAAACAGGAUUAGAUACCCUAGUAGUC